GAUGAAGAACGUAGCGAAAUGCGAUAAGUAAUGCGAAUUGCAGAAUUCCAGUGAAUCAUCGAAUCUUUGAACGCACAUUGCGCCCAUUAGCAUUCUAGUGGGCAUGCCUGUUCGAGCGUCAUUUCAACCCUUAAGCCCUGUUGCUUAGCGUUGGGAGCCUACAGUACUGUAGCUCCCCAAAGUUAGUGGCGGAGUCGGUUUCACACUCUAGACGUAGUAAUUUUUUCUCGUCUGUAGUUGAGCCGGUCCCCUGCCGUAAAACACCCAAUUUAUCAAGGUUGACCUCGGAUCAGGUAGGAAUACCCGCUGAACUUAAGCAUAUCAAUAAGCGGAGGA
RNAcentral lists this unclassified non-coding RNA (336 nucleotides) under soil metagenome. RNAcentral's name for it is "partial contains 5.8S ribosomal RNA, internal transcribed spacer 2, and large subunit ribosomal RNA". The stretch from base 1 to 121 matches the Rfam family "5.8S ribosomal RNA", at positions 35 to 154 of the family's 154-position model. The record is from RNAcentral.